GGGUUGUGAGGUUAAGCGACUAAGCGUACACGGUGGAUGCCCUGGCAGUCAGAGGCGAUGAAGGGCGUGCUAAUCUGCGAUAAGCGCCGGUAAGGUGAUAUGAACCGUUAUAACCGGCGAUACCCGAAUGGGGAAACCCAGUGUGACUCGUCACACUAUCAUUAACUGAAUCCAUAGGUUAAUGAGGCGAACCGGGGGAACUGAAACAUCUAAGUACCCCGAGGAAAAGAAAUCAACCGAGAUUCCCCCAGUAGCGGCGAGCGAACGGGGAGGAGCCCAGAGCCUGAAUCAGCAUGUGUGUUAGUGGAAGCGUCUGGAAAGGCGCGCGAUACAGGGUGACAGCCCCGUACACAAAAGCGCAUGUGCUGUGAGCUCGAUGAGUAGGGCGGGACACGUGGUAUCCUGUCUGAAUAUGGGGGGACCAUCCUCCAAGGCUAAAUACUCCUGACUGACCGAUAGUGAACCAGUACCGUGAGGGAAAGGCGAAAAGAACCCCGGCGAGGGGAGUGAAAAAGAACCUGAAACCGUGUACGUACAAGCAGUGGGAGCACAGGUUUACCUGUGUGACUGCGUACCUUUUGUAUAAUGGGUCAGCGACUUAUAUUCUGUAGCAAGGUUAACCGAAUAGGGGAGCCGGAGGGAAACCGAGUCUUAACUGGGCGUUAAGUUGCAGGGUAUAGACCCGAAACCCGGUGAUCUAGCCAUGGGCAGGUUGAAGGUUGGGUAACACUAACUGGAGGACCGAACCGACUAAUGUUGAAAAAUUAGCGGAUGACCUGUGGCU
This 784-nucleotide ribosomal RNA is filed under the name Salmonella enterica subsp. enterica. Its description in RNAcentral is "bacterial LSU rRNA". It matches the Rfam family "Bacterial large subunit ribosomal RNA", at positions 1 to 816 of the family's 2925-position model. The record is from RNAcentral. Lineage: Bacteria; Pseudomonadati; Pseudomonadota; Gammaproteobacteria; Enterobacterales; Enterobacteriaceae. RNAcentral also lists the same sequence under 1 other name.